CACCAGCCCCUCGAGUGGUGGGGAUGAUUAUUUGGCCUAAAGCGUCCGUAGCCGGCCGGGUAAGUUUCCCGUUAAAUCCAGCGUCUAAAGCGUUGGACUGCGGGAAAUACUGCCUGGCUAGAGAGUGGGAGAGGUGUACGGUAUUCUGGGGGUAGGGGCGAAAUCCUUUGAUCCCCGGAGGACCACCAGUGGCGAAGGCUGUACACUAGAACACGUCUGACGGUCAGGGACGAAAGCUGGGGUAGCGAACCGGAUUAGAUACCCGGGUAGUCCCAGCUGUAAACGAUGCAUGCUAGGUGUUGGGUUGGCCACGAGCCACCCCAGUGCCGCAGGGAAGCCGUUAAGCAUGCCGCCUGGGAAGUACGAUCGCAAGAUUGAAACUUAAAGGAAUUGGCGGGGGAGCACCACCAGGCGUGGAGCCUGCGGUUU
Molecule: ribosomal RNA, 429 nt
Filed under: uncultured archaeon
Lineage: Archaea
Description: bacterial SSU rRNA
Rfam family: Archaeal small subunit ribosomal RNA
Source: RNAcentral